Molecule: ribosomal RNA, 721 nt
Filed under: uncultured archaeon
Lineage: Archaea
Description: bacterial SSU rRNA
Rfam family: Archaeal small subunit ribosomal RNA
Source: RNAcentral
AUAGAACAUUAUGCCUGGAAUGGUUUAUGUUUCAAAUGAUUUAUCGCCAUAGGAUGGGACUGCGGCCUAUCAGUUUGUUGGUGAGGUAAUGGCCCACCAAGACUAUUACAGGUACGGGCUCUGAGAGGAGUAGCCCGGAGAUGGGUACUGAGACACGGACCCAGGCCCUAUGGGGCGCAGCAGGCGAGAAAACUUUGCAAUGUGCGAAAGCACGACGAGGUUAAUCCGAGUGGUUUCUGCUAAAGAGACCUUUUGUCAGUCCUAGAAACACUAACGAAUAAGGGGUGGGCAAGUUCUGGUGUCAGCCGCCGCGGUAAAACCAGCACCUCAAGUGGUCAGGAUGAUUAUUGGGCCUAAAGCAUCCGUAGCUCGUUUUGUAAGUUUUCGGUUAAAUCCAUGCGCUUAACGUAUGGGCUGCCGGGAAUACUGCAUAACUAGGAAGUGGGAGAGGUAGACGGACUCGGUAGGAAGGGGUAAAAUCCUUUGAUCUAUUGAUGACCACCUGUGGCGAAGCGGUCUACCAGAACGCGUUCGACGGUGAGGGAUGAAAGCUGGGGGAGCAAACCGGAUUAGACCGCGGGUAGUCCCAGCUGUAAACUAUGCGGACUCCUGAUGCAUGGCUUGUGGCAAUGCCUGCUGGGGCAAACCGUUAACUUUGCCGCCUGGGAAGUACGUAGCCCUAUGAAAUUAACGGUUUGGCGGGGACACUCCGGCAAUUGUU